UGUGUAGGCGGUCCCUUAAGUUUGGUGUGAAAUCUCCCGGCUCAACUGGGAGGGUGCGCCGAAUACUGAAGGACUAGAGUGCGGGAGAGGAGAGUGGAAUUCCUGGUGUAGCGGUGAAAUGCGUAGAUAUCAGGAGGAACACCGGUGGUGUAGACGGCUCUCUGGACCGUAACUGACGCUGAGACACGAAAGCGUGGGUAGCAAACAGGAUUAGAUACCCUGGUAGUCCACGCCCUAAACGAUGCAUAUUGGUGUGGGCAGUUCAUUCUGUCCGUGCCGGAGCUAACGCGUUAAAUAUGCCGCCGUGGGGAGUACAGUCGCAAGGCUGAA
RNAcentral lists this ribosomal RNA (330 nucleotides) under uncultured bacterium. RNAcentral describes it as "bacterial SSU rRNA". It matches the Rfam family "Bacterial small subunit ribosomal RNA", at positions 568 to 898 of the family's 1533-position model. The record is from RNAcentral.